This 484-nucleotide ribosomal RNA is filed under the name uncultured bacterium. RNAcentral describes it as "partial 16S ribosomal RNA". It matches the Rfam family "Bacterial small subunit ribosomal RNA", at positions 30 to 507 of the family's 1533-position model. The record is from RNAcentral.
AUUGAACGCUGGCGGCAGGCCUAACACAUGCAAGUCGAGCGGAUGCAGAGAGCUUGCUCCUGGAUUCAGCGGGGGACGGGUGGGUAAUUCCUAGGAAUCUCCGUAGUAGUGGGGGCUAACGUCCGGAAACGGGCGCUAAUACCGCAUACGUCCUGACGGAGAACGUGGGGGAUCUUCGGACCUCACGCUCUCACAUGAGUCUAGGUCGGAUUGGCUAGUUUGUAGGGUAAAGGGCUACCAACGCGACGAUCCGGAAAUCGUCUGAGAGGAUGAUCAGUCACACUUGAACUGAGACACGGUUCAGACCCCUACGGGAGGCAGCAGUGGGGAAUAUUUGACAAUGGGCGAAAGCCUGAUUCAGCCAUGACGGGGGUGUGAAGAAGGUCUUCGGAUUGGAAAGCUCUUUAGUUUGGGAGGAAAAGCAGCAAGUUAAUACCUCGCUGUUUUGACGUUACCAAAAGAAUAAGCACCGGCUAACUUCGUG